Molecule: non-coding RNA, 2154 nt
Organism: Arachis ipaensis
Lineage: Eukaryota; Viridiplantae; Streptophyta; Magnoliopsida; Fabales; Fabaceae
Source: RefSeq, a predicted model, not a curated record
GAAUGAGGUGCAAUGCAAACAAUAGGAGGCUUUUGAAGUAGAGAAAGCCAUGAAAGAAGUGCCAAGGACUCAAAUGGUUAGCAAUAAUCCCCUGUAUCGAAAGCAAAAUCCCUUUUUCGAACCUGUUUUGAUGGAAGUUGAUGAAGUGAGUUGUGAAGGCGGAAUCCAGCACCACCAUCUGCCUGAUAAAGUUAUGAUAGACCCAGUGAUGUCCAGCAGUGGGGAUCAUAGUGUCGUGAAGGUUAAACUCAAUUUGGGUGCUAAGGAUGUUGCAAAAAUUUGAGCAGCAGCAUCAACAAGAUGAACUCCAGACUCAACAAUUGGAAAGCCUCCUCGCUAUCCCUUGUUGAAAGAACUACCCUGGUGAAAUAUGUUCUAUAAUCUAAUUCCUAGUUAUACUAUGCAAACUGCUUUGUUACCUACUUCUACUAGUAAUAUGAUAGAUUGCAAAUGCAAAAAUUUUCUUUUCGAAGAAUCUGAACAAUCCAAGAAGAUUCAUCUCUUGAAUUGGAGAGAAGUUAGCAAGCCAAAGUAAAAUGGUAGCCUAGGAGUAAGACAUGCUAAAGAUGUUAACCGCGCCUUCAUGAUGAAAAUAGGAUGGGGGCUUAUUGAGAAAAAGGAUUUCCUCUGGGCCAGAAUUCUCUGCACUAAGUAUAAUUGCGAAAAUGAUAUCUUGCCAGAGGUUGUUAGGAGAGGCAGCAACUCUAAUCUUUAGAGAGAAAUCUACUCUACGUGGAAUAAUGUGGAAAGAAAUAUUAUUUGGCGCAUUAGUGAUGGUCAUCAGAUUAAUUUUUGGGAUCACAAUUGAGUGUCGAAUCUUGGAAAACUCCUAAUCAUGAGAUAUAGGUAUUGUCAUAUUCUGAUUUAUAUUCAAACUUUACGGAUUUUCUUAAUAUUUCAGGUGAGUGGGAUGAGGAAAAACUUAAACAGAUGCUUCCAGAAGCUACUACCAGGAGAAUUCUAGCUAUGUCGCCUCCAUCACCUUGAAAAUGGCCUGACCAAGUGGCCUGGAGCUGAAUACAAAAUGAUACUUUUAGCCUUAAAAUAUCCUACCAAUCCUUGCUUGGUGAUUAUGAACCUCUUGCCAAGUCUGUAAACUUGCGUGGAAGUGAAAGUCCCGAAAAGGAUCACAGCUUUCAUUUGGCUUGUUGCGCAUGAAGUUAUUCUUACAAAUGUUGAUAGAAGAAUACAUCUAUCAAAUUCUGCUACUUGCCUAAGAUGCACUGAGCAUGAUAAAACUACUUUUCAUGUCAUUCGUGAUUGUUCUUCUGCAAAACAUGUUUGGCAAUUCACGAGGCUCCAUGAAGCAAUUCGUGACUUCUUUAGUUUAGACCUAAGAGAUUGAUUGAUAAACAAUUUAUCUAAUAAUCAUGAUUGGAUAAUUCUUUUUGAGGUAACAAUCUCUUCUCUUUCGUACCACAGAAACUGCUUUAUUCUUUAAGAAAAAAAUAUUCUCCUAGUUGUAGUCUCUAAGUCCGCUAAAGCUUGCAGUAUUGAAAUUCUGAAUGUUAUAAGAAGUAUUAUUCUUCCCAACAGAUUUUUUGGGGAGGAAGCUUGGUUGAUUCAAUGGAUUUUUCCUGCAGAGGAUAUUACCAAGUUGAAUGUUGAUGGUUCCCUUUUAUCCCAUUCUAAUAGUGCUGCUUGUGGUGGAGUUUUUCGAAAUCAUCUUGGGAGAUAUAUGACUGAAUUCUCUUGUAAUUUGGAAAGUUGCUCAAUCUUACAUGUAAAACUUUGGGGUAUUAUAAAAGGCCUUCAAGUGGCAUGUGCAAACAACUUUCAACACCUUGUGUUGGAGUCAGAUUCUUUGCUGGCCAUCCAUCUUAUUAUGAAGAAUGUCCUGUAAUCCAUCUAUGCAAACAUUUUCUAAUUGACAUUGAAAAUCUAGUGAACAUGUUGAUGAUCGUCAACUGGCACCAUGCCUUGCGUGAAGCAAAUAGUGUUCUUGAUAUUCUUGCUAAAAAGGGACAACACCUCCCAGCUGGUCUUCAUUUGUUCGACCAUCCCCCUCUAGACAUUAUGCAAGCUUUGACUUGAGAUCAUUCUGACACUUUUAGAUUGAGAAGAGACUAAUUUUUAUUUGUUAUUUUCUCUUUUCCUUGUUUUCGGGUCCUUAACCCUCUUCAUUCAAAAAAAAACUUUUACCGUUAUUUAUAA